GCAGCCCAGGAGGAAGGAGCUCUCUGCCGUGGAAGAGAGGAGAAGCCUAACUGAAGGAGCAGCGGCUGACACGGCUGCAGAAUGGAGUUUUUCCCGAACCAUGACAAAAAGUCCAGGGGCAGGACGCUGCCUCCCAGACCCGAAGCCCAGGAUAUGCAGCGUCCAGUGAUAUUUAGAAAACUAAUGUGGGUGAAACUCACCAGGGGCAGCAACCAGCCCACAGCCCAGUAAUGAAUGAAGAUAGUAAAGAGGAGAGGAGAGUGAAAUAUCUUCAUUUAAAAAAAAAUUUUUUUUUACGUUUGGUAUAUAUUUUAUAGUGUUAAGUUGAAUAUAUAUUUAU
Molecule: long non-coding RNA, 340 nt
Organism: Alligator mississippiensis (American alligator)
Lineage: Eukaryota; Metazoa; Chordata; Crocodylia; Alligatoridae
Exons: 3
Source: RefSeq, a predicted model, not a curated record